UACGUAGGGUGCAAGCGUUAAUCGGAAUCAUUGGGCGUAAAGGGUGCGUAGGCGGAUGUACAAGCUUGAUGUGAAAGCCCUGGGCUUAACCUAGGAACUGCAUUAAGUACGGUAUGUCUAGAGUUCGGUAGAGGGGGGUAGAAUUCCAUGUGUAGCAGUGAAAUGCGUAGAUAUAUGGAGGAAUACCGAUGGCGAAGGCAGCCCCCUGGGCCGAUACUGACGCUGAGGCACGAAAGCGUGGGGAGCAAACAGG
This 253-nucleotide ribosomal RNA is filed under the name uncultured bacterium. Its description in RNAcentral is "partial 16S ribosomal RNA". It matches the Rfam family "Bacterial small subunit ribosomal RNA", at positions 524 to 776 of the family's 1533-position model. The record is from RNAcentral.